RNAcentral lists this ribosomal RNA (449 nucleotides) under uncultured bacterium. RNAcentral describes it as "partial 16S ribosomal RNA". It matches the Rfam family "Bacterial small subunit ribosomal RNA", at positions 29 to 523 of the family's 1533-position model. The record is from RNAcentral.
AACGAACGCUGGCGGCAUGCCUAACACAUGCACGUCGAACGAGAUCUUCGGGUCUAGUGGCGCACGGGUGCGUAACGCGUGGGAAUCUGCCCUUUGGUUCGGAAUAACAGUUGGAAACGACUGCUAAUACCGGAUGAUGACGAAAGUCCAAAGAUUUAUCGCCAGAGGAUGGAGCCGCGUAGGAUUAGCUAGUUGUUGUGGUAAAGGCGCACCAAGGCGACGAUCCUUAGCUGGUCUGAGAGGAUGAUCAGCCACACUGGGACUGAGACACGGCCCAGCCUCCUACGGGAGGCAGCAGUUGGGAAUAUUGGACAAUGGGCGAAAGCCUGAUCCUGCAAUGCCGCGGUAUUGAUGAAGUCCUUAGGGUUGUAAAGCUCUUUUACCCGGGAUGAUGAUGACAGUACCGGGAGAAUAAGCUCCGGCUAACUCCGUGCCAGCCGCCGCAGUAA